RNAcentral lists this long non-coding RNA (780 nucleotides) under Homo sapiens (human). RNAcentral describes it as "HSALNT0308913". Lineage: Eukaryota; Metazoa; Chordata; Mammalia; Primates; Hominidae. The record is from RNAcentral.
CUGCAACUGGGGCCAUUUCAUCUCUUUCAAUGGCCCGGCAUCAUCAUCGCUGUAUGCAGGCCUGACCUCAGGCAGAAGGGAGUGAGGCAGCAUGACAUAGGAUGAAGCAGAAAGGCACUGGGGUGAGUGGGCCGGCGUCUGAAUGCCCACUCUCUAGCUGUGUGAUCUUAGGGAUCAUGACUGCUUCCCAGACCUUAGUCUCAGGAUGCCACACCGGAAGAGCUGGACCCCACAUUUGAAGACAGAUGUCCCUGGCGGUGCCCGCCUGCUCUGUAAAGAGCUAGUCCCAGGCUCCCAUUGUGACCUAGCACCUCAACCUCUCCUGACCCUUUUGCCUAGGCCAGAUCCUGAGAUCGGAGAGUACAUACAUCUCCCUGGGGCUUGCUUUCCUCUCCCAUAAAAUUUAGGAGUUGGGGAUGAUCUUAUCCCUCUACCUAGACUGUAGACUCCUGGGAGCGGGAGGCAAGGCACUCACAAGCAAGGGCAUCAGAGUGACAUCAAGACACAAACAGCCAUGGAAUCUUGGGAACAGAUCAAGGAGUCCACCUCUUAAAAUAUUGUAAAAAAUAAAAUCUGAGUACGAAUGUUGGUGAAAAGGACCAAGGAUGGAUCAAUAAACUCACCAAUUAGCAACAUACUUAUUUUUUUCCAUUAGCACUGGUCCAGGGUGGGCCCAAGAUUCUGCAUUUCUGAGAAGCUCCCAGCUGGGGCUGAUGUUGCUGGUCCAAAGACCAGAGUGAGUAGCAAGGACAUAAGAAUACUCAAUUGGAAGCUCUCUCC